RNAcentral lists this ribosomal RNA (823 nucleotides) under uncultured bacterium. RNAcentral's name for it is "bacterial SSU rRNA". It matches the Rfam family "Bacterial small subunit ribosomal RNA", at positions 56 to 924 of the family's 1533-position model. The record is from RNAcentral.
UGCAAGUCGAACGGGCGUAGCAAUACGUCAGUGGCAGACGGGUGAGUAACGCGUGGGAACGUACCUUUUGGUUCGGAACAACACAGGGAAACUUGUGCUAAUACCGGAUAAGCCCUUACGGGGAAAGAUUUAUCGCCGAAAGAUCGGCCCGCGUCUGAUUAGCUAGUUGGUGAGGUAACGGCUCACCAAGGCGACGAUCAGUAGCUGGUCUGAGAGGAUGAUCAGCCACAUUGGGACUGAGACACGGCCCAAACUCCUACGGGAGGCAGCAGUGGGGAAUAUUGGACAAUGGGGGCAACCCUGAUCCAGCCAUGCCGCGUGAGUGAUGAAGGCCCUAGGGUUGUAAAGCUCUUUUGUGCGGGAAGAUAAUGACGGUACCGCAAGAAUAAGCCCCGGCUAACUUCGUGCCAGCAGCCGCGGUAAUACGAAGGGGGCUAGCGUUGCUCGGAAUCACUGGGCGUAAAGGGUGCGUAGGCGGGUCUUUAAGUCAGAGGUGAAAGCCUGGAGCUCAACUCCAGAACUGCCUUUGAUACUGAGGAUCUUGAGUUCGGGAGAGGUGAGUGGAACUGCGAGUGUAGAGGUGAAAUUCGUAGAUAUUCGCAAGAACACCAGUGGCGAAGGCGGCUCACUGGCCCGAUACUGACGCUGAGGCACGAAAGCGUGGGGAGCAAACAGGAUUAGAUACCCUGGUAGUCCACGCCGUACACGAUGAAUGCCAGCCGUUGGGAAGUUUACUUUUCAGUGGCGCAGUUAACGCUUUAAGCAUUCCGCCUGGGGAGUACGGUCGCAAGAUUAAAACUCAAAGGAAUUGACGGGGGCCCGC